This is a non-coding RNA of Camellia sinensis, 3602 nucleotides long. NCBI's taxonomy places the organism in Eukaryota, Viridiplantae, Streptophyta, Magnoliopsida, Ericales, Theaceae. The record is from RefSeq and is a predicted model, not a curated record.
AAACGAUGUCGUGUUGGGUCAAUUUAUUAACACCAUCCUGGACUCCGUCUCUCAUUUUCUCUGCCUCUUCCACAACCCCGAUUUGAAGCUCAAACACACUCUCUCUCUCUCUUCCAAAACCCUCGAUUUGAAGCUCAAACACACAGACUCUCUCUCUUGCUCGCUCGAUCAAUUGAGAUUUUGCAUUGUAUGUUCUUUAUCAAUGUUGAUCGAAGCUCAACAACUCUCAAUUUAAAGCUCAAACACAUAGAACUCAAUCGCAGCAGUUUGCUCUAGCUGUUCUUCAUCAAUUGCAACGAUCUCUGUUCUUCAUCGAUCUCGAAGCUACUUGAGUGAGGACGGGCACCAGACGGUCCAGACUCCGAUCUCUUUGUCUAUUACUGCAAGCACUGCAGAUCUCAUGUCCUCAUCACUAGUUCGCUUCUCUAUUUCUCUUCGUCUAAUUCAUCUCAAUUCACCUUCACCUACUUCUCUAUUUGAAUCUAUCUAUGUUAUCUACUUACCUAUAUAUACACACAUUUAUAUGCACUAACUUCAUUUCCACACACACAAAAAAACUAAACAAUAUUGGAUUAUCAUCUUUGAUUUUGUUAUUUAGAGUGUUUGUGUUUGUAGUUUUUUUUUAAAAAAAAAUUAUUUUGGUUUUUAACUUGUUCAGACUGCUAGUGUCUGUGUUUCUGUUCUUCAUCAAAAUCGAUUUGUUCUUCAUCAAAUCGCAGAUCCAAAAUUCAAAAUUCAAAAUCCAAAAUCGAUCUGUUUUAGCUGAUCUCUCUUGCUCUUAUCUCAGAUGAAAAGCUUGAACCAUUGAGUUGGGAUUUGAGGAUUCAAAUAGCUGUAGAUGUAGCAAGGGCAUUAGAAUACCUUCAUGAUGGGAUUUCCUACCCAUCGGCCUUUUACCCCUUGCAGAGACACUACCCUCACCAACAGUUGGAUUGUUACCAACACUUGGACUAGUGUCAUCUUCAAAAGAAAUGCAAUUAUCCAUAGGGGAAUCGGGGGCUGAAUCAGGGAAAAAUGGUGUAUGUAUCCUUAACUUCACCGUAUUCAUAGGAGUUACAUCUUGCCACCUGAUAUUGUUUUGCAAGAUUGACCAACAAUGUUCAAAAGCAAAAUGUUUCUUUUCAUCUUGAUGGUAUAAAAGUUUUGCUUGAAACAUCUGUAUCAAUAUUGAAUUAAGUAAGUAUCAAUAAAAUAAAAUAAAAUAUGAGAUCUUACUAGAUAAAAUAAAAUAUGUAUCAAUUUUGAAUUAAGUAAUUAUUUAAUUUUUUUAUGAGACGAAAUAAAAUAAAAUAAAAACUAACGUAAUAAAUGAAGAUGAAAUCUUACUAAAUCAACUUGAGACAUCCCACUUGGGUGUAGAUUUUCGACUUGCGCUAAACAUCCACGAAAUUUGUUAGAACAUUUCAUGAUUGUACCCCAUCGAGAUUGGAUAGAAACUUGUGUUCUUUACUGAUCAUUCUGAAGGGAGCAAUAAUUUUCAUAAACUCUCCCCCAAAAGUGAAUAUAAGAUUGUGAAUUACCAACAAUUGGAUCUUCAGAAAUGUGACACCAAGCUUUACAAAGUGCCAUAUCUUCAGUAAUGGUGAAUUAUUUUCCUCUCUUUAUUUUUGAUGAACCUUCCAUACCGAUUGUGUAAAGAAAAUAUAAAUAAAAAUAAAAAUGUAAUUUAGAAAAUUUGUUGUGAAAUGAAAUUGAGUAAAAAGAGAGCACAAAAUGUUUGUAUUUAUAGAAAAAAAAAGAGCCAUUUUAACAUAAAAAAGAGCCGUUUUAUUUUUAUAGCCGGUUUGUGUUAAUCCUUUUUUUUUAUAGCCGUUGUAGAUAUAUGUUUCAAUUAUGCUUUUAUUUAAUUUUUAUUUUUUUAAUGAAUAAAGUAAUCCACUCAUGAAUAAAGUAAACCCAAGUUCAAUCAACUUUAGGAAAUUUCCAGAUCCACUCUUGAGAGAGACAGAGAGCUUCGAAACUUGAGAGAGAGAGAGAGAGAAAGAGAGCUUCAGAUGAGUGAAGAUCAGAGGGAAGAGGGAAGGUCAGAGGGAAGAUUAGAGCUUCGGAUGAGUGAAGAUCAGAGGGAGAGACCUUCGAAUGAACUUCGGAUCAGCUUUAGAUCAAUGAAGAUGAACUUCCAACCCUUUUCAACCCUCGGAUCAGUGAAGAUUUUUUUCAGAUCAGUGAACUUCAACCCUCGGAUCAGAAAAUCCCAACCGAAAGGGAAGGAGGGAAGGAAGGAAGAGAGAAAACAGUUAAUUUUGGGUGACUUGGCAGAUUUGGCAGCUGCCAAAGUAGUUGCCAAGUUUGGCACUUGAUUUGGCAGUUGCCAAAUUUGGCGGCUGGUAUAGCAUGCCAUUGGAGAAGCCACGAUUGUCCAAGCUGCUAUAUUAUGGCUUUGGCAGCUGAUAUAGCCAUCCAUUGGAGAUGCUCUAAGGUUACUUAAGAGGUUGGAUUUUCCAGAAAUGAAAUUUAGCUUGUAUUUUAUGGGCUAUGAGGUAAAGUCUUCUGCAUUACUUUUGUAAUAUUUUUUUUUUCUUUCUAUUUCUAUCUUCUAAAACCAUGAGAUUCUAAUUUUUUUUUUCUGUUUCUGCCAUAUGUUCGUUGAUGUUCUUUUUAAACCUUGUUACAAGGAGGAGAUAGUUGAUUGGUGCUCUGCCCCUCUACAAAGAGGGAUGAACACUUGGAUGGAGUGGAAGACAACUGUGUAAUUGAUCCACAGCAUUAGGGACAUUGUUGAUAACUUGGGAUAUUAGCUCUUUCUAGGAUGGACUUAACAUCAGCUCCCAGCAAUGCAGUUGAUCGUACUGUUUGGACAUUUAGUCAGAAGGCUACAAUUGAGCUCACACAAUAUAUUUUAUUUUGAUAUCACAUUUUUUUUUUUUUUUUGAGAACGUGGGUUCUGAGAGUUUUGGGACCCACUUUGUUUGGUAAUCUUGAUCCUAUAUCUUCAAGCUUUGUAUUGUAAGCUUCACUUGCUUGUUGCAUCUGUUAACAGGUGUUUGAUUUUUUCAAACUUUCAUGAAACAAUGCUAACCUGAAAUUGCUGAAUAAUCAAUUUAGGCAAUUGCUGGCUUGCAUAGAAAUGGAGAUUGGUAUAUUCAUUAGGAGAACAUUGAUGGUGGUGUUAUUUUGUCUGUGGGUGCCCAUGAAAGUCAUGGCUAGGACUGGAAAUGCUAGUGUUUCUUCCUGAAAGCCAAAUGUAGUAAAUAUUGGAGCUCUGUACACCUUCAAUUCUGUUAUUAGACAAUCAGCAAAGCCAGCAAUUGAAGCUACGGUUGAUGAUGUCAAUUCCGAUUCAACUGUUCUUGUUGGGAUGAACACACACAAAGAGAAGCUCAUUCAUAUAUUUAGUUUUGGCAUAUGAGCUCUGCGAGAAGUUUGACGCCAACAAACAUGUGGAUUGAAGAGUAUAUUUUGUGUGGAUUGAAGAGUACAUAGAUUUUGUGUAGUAAAAAUCUCAUGAAAUGUGCAAUUAAUUUGGUUCAUAGAUGAGUUGAAUACUUUAAUGUAUUUUUCCCUAACUUUGUAUAAUGUUUUAUGAUGGGUUGAUUACAAUAUAUUGGAUGUAUAAAAAUUCUGAUUAGCUUGAUGCAUGGUGAUAUGUGAAUUUGAGCCAU